CUUUCGUUAGACAACAAAUGGAUCAUCUGAUUGAUAUCUCAGUAUUAGGAAAUCAUUAUCAGGCUCCAGAAAAUGAUUUUCUGUUACAGAACUGGGAUUAUUUAUUUAUUUCGGUACCAAUGAAUGUAUUUUUCACUCAAUGGAGAUUUUCCAUUUUUGGCCCACAGCAAUAUCCGGAGAGAGAGCGAGAGAUUCCUAUAGAAUACAAGACAAGACUAUCACAAUGAGCUGAAAUAUUGUGUCUGUGAAAGUAAUGAGAAGCACAGUGGAGACAAGUUUCUGAAGGAUGGAAGAGGCUGGAGGCUGUCUGGUGGGAAAAGGUUCCCAGACACGUGAGAGACCCAGCAACAGGUAAGAGAAUAAGUUGGUAAAGAAGAGACACAGUGGAAGGGUGAUUUAUUUAAAUGUAAAAUGCUAUCUGUUAGGUAUUAUAAAAAAAAUCUAUACUAUAUCCCUUAUGAAAUCCUCAGUGAAAACUCAGUUUCAUUUUGUUUAAUGAGGAUAAGUGCUAAGGGCUUUUCUAAGGGUUGGGUGUGAUGACCACAAGGGCUACUUCCCAGGAGAAAGUUAUGUUGCAUUUCUGUGCUGGGCCCAAGGUAGUGAUCACCAGAUGGGGGUUGUAUACCUUCAGUUCUCCCUUCAAUUUCCAGCAAUCUCCCCUGGAGCCCCUCACAGCCUGUCAUCAGCCAAGUGAAUUACUUCCUUCCCUAUCAGUGCUGACACAUUAACUUUGGGGAAAUCUCAGUGCAGGAAUCUCUAGCCAAAUCUUAAGGAACACCACGGCUGGCAAAACUGCAACUGAUAAAAUAAAUUUCAUAGCAAAUAUAGGAUUAGGGGGAAAACAAUGAAAGUGGCAUUGAAUGUAUGAAUGUCAAAAAUAAAAAUUGGCAUUGAAUACAUGAGUGUCAAAAAUAAAUAAAAAUUGUACAAAAGCUCCAUUCCCUCAAAGCAAAUUUCUCAUCUUUCUGAAUCUGCUCAGGUAAGUAAAUGUGUACCUGCAUCACACUGUUUAGCUGUUCGGGUGAUGUUGCUGCUGGACGUUAAGAAGUUCACAUAUCUGAAAUUAAAUAUCUUUAUAACUUGAAUUGCCUCAUUUCAUUCUUUCUUUGGAUUGAGCAGUGGCAUGGGUUAGUGCUUAAGUGCCCAGAUACCUAAGUUUUAAGACAGUUUGAAGCUCAGCUCUGCAAUGUAUGAUUCCCAUGAUCCAAGAAGGAUGAAAUAACCUCUCCUUACAUCAUCUGUAAAUGCAGAUUAAAAUCAUCCUAACCUGACAGAGGACCCAAUGAAUCAAUGUAAGUAAAGGGUUUAGUCCAGUUGCUAGUACAGGGGAAGCACAGUGUGUUUACUCUCUUCUUGCUUCAUUUUCAGAAGAUAGACAGGGUGUUAGUGCCGCCACUGGCCUGUCACAAGUCAUCUCACUGGUCAACAGUUAUUUUGGGGGCCUGAUGUCCUUCCACUCACAAAGAGGAUGGUGUGUAAACAAUCUCUUUUGGCGUGACUCCAGGACUGGUCCAGUGGCUUUUAACACACAAAACCCUCCUCUUUAGUGAGGAAGGAAUCAGCCCAAGACUCAGGAUUGGCAAAUUGUGAGUUUUGAUACUGAUAUGUAACUCAUUCUUAAUUAUUCAUCCACAUGCGUUGUAGUGCCAUCUCUGGAAACUGACAACCCCUGAGAUUCUAAUAGGAAAGAUUUCUAGUGCCAGGAAGAGUAAUGGCCCUAAAUUAACAUGACCUAAGGACACGAGCA
RNAcentral lists this long non-coding RNA (1747 nucleotides) under Macaca mulatta (Rhesus monkey). Its description in RNAcentral is "lncRNA (ENSMMUG00000064550.1)". The record is from RNAcentral. Lineage: Eukaryota; Metazoa; Chordata; Mammalia; Primates; Cercopithecidae.